AGUCUAACAUGUGCGCGAGUCAUUGGGACAUUGAAACCUAAAGGCGCAAUGAAAGUAAAGGUCGUACCUUGCGUCGACCAAGGGAGGAUGGGCCGCGUCACGAUGCGGCCUCGCACUCCCGGGGCGUCUCGUUCUCAUUGCGAGAAGAGGCGCACCCAGAGCGUACACGUUGGGACCCGAAAGAUGGUGAACUAUGCCUGGUCAGGACGAAGUCAGGGGAAACCCUGAUGGAGGUCCGUAGCGAUUCUGACGUGCAAAUCGAUCGUCGGAACUGGGUAUAGGGGCGAAAGACUAAUCGAACCAUCUAGUAGCUGGUUCCCUCCGAAGUUUCCCUCAGGAUAGCUGGCACUCGCUCGUUCCUCUUUGCGAACGCGUGCGAGUCUCAUCUGGUAAAGCGAAUGAUUAGAGGCCUUGGGGCCGAAACGACCUCAACCUAUUCUCAAACUUUAAAUGGGUGAGAUCUCUGGCUUGCUUGGAUCAAUGAAGCCACGAGAUUUUGGAUCAGAGUGCCAAGUGGGCCAAUUUUGGUAAGCAGAACUG
This 540-nucleotide ribosomal RNA is filed under the name Sphecodes cristatus. RNAcentral describes it as "eukaryotic LSU rRNA". It matches the Rfam family "Eukaryotic large subunit ribosomal RNA", at positions 672 to 1152 of the family's 3401-position model. The record is from RNAcentral. Lineage: Eukaryota; Metazoa; Arthropoda; Insecta; Hymenoptera; Halictidae.